GUGGGGAAUCUUGCGCAAUGGGCGAAAGCCUGACGCAGCCAUGCCGCGUGAAUGAUGAAGGUCUUAGGAUUGUAAAAUUCUUUCACCGGGGACGAUAAUGACGGUACCCGGAGAAGAAGCUCCGGCUAACUUCGUGCCAGCAGCCGCGGUAAUACGAAGGGGGCUAGCGUUGCUCGGAAUUACUGUGCGUAAAGGGCGCGUAGGCGGACAGCUUAGUCAGAGGUGAAAGCCCAGGGCUCAACCUUGGAAUUGCCUUUGAUACUGGCUGUCUUGAGUUUGGGAGAGGUGAGUGGAACUCCGAGUGUAGAGGUGAAAUUCUUAGAUAUUCGGAAGAACACCAGUGGCGAAGGCGACUCACUGGCCCAAUACUGACGCUGAGGCGCGAAAGCGUGGGGAGUAAACAGGAUUAGAUACCCGGGUAGUCC
RNAcentral lists this ribosomal RNA (425 nucleotides) under uncultured bacterium. RNAcentral's name for it is "partial 16S ribosomal RNA". It matches the Rfam family "Bacterial small subunit ribosomal RNA", at positions 354 to 796 of the family's 1533-position model. The record is from RNAcentral.